RNAcentral lists this long non-coding RNA (980 nucleotides) under Heterocephalus glaber (naked mole-rat). Its description in RNAcentral is "lncRNA (ENSHGLG00100037710.1)". The record is from RNAcentral. Lineage: Eukaryota; Metazoa; Chordata; Mammalia; Rodentia; Bathyergidae.
UUGCAACUCACUUGAGUUAAUAAAAAUGUAAAUUCUAGGAAGAAUCAUCCAGAACACAGAGGAGGAGGCUUCUGGGCCAAUGUACCACUGCUCCCAGCACAGAGGAGGUGAGCUGCACAGGCAGCAGCAGAACCCCCCCAACCCCCCCAUCAAAAUAAGAAGACACAUAAACAAGCCUCAAGACCAGACUUUCAGAUCACCUACAGCAACCUCAAAGGGAAACAAGAUGGAACACUCUGAUACUCAACCACCUGGACUCCCUGAACUGGCAACAAAAGAGGAUCUGGAAAAAAUGAAAUCAGAAAUAAUUUCAAAGAUAACAGCAGAGAUUGUGCCCAUAGUGCAAGACAUGAUUGAUAAAUCUAGAGAGGAGCUGAGGAACAUAAUGGAAUCCCAACAUAGGAAACAAAUGGAUUCCAUAAAGCAAAAACAAACAGAUUUCCAGGAGAUUAAAAACUCCAUUGAAAGUUUGCGCAGCAGAAUGAGGCAAUGCAAGGACAGAACUUAAGAUAUAGAAGAUGAGAUUGCAGUUAGUGACCAGGAAAAGAAAAAUUGCUUAAAAAUUGUAGGGGACCAUGAGAAAUCAAUCCAACAACUGGUAGAUGAUGCAAAGAAGAAUAACAUAAGAAUGAUCCAAGUCAGUGAAGAAAGAGGACAGAAUGCAGAUGACAUAAAAAAAAACUGUUCACAGAAGUGAUGGCAGAAAAAUUUCCAAGCAGGGGAAAAGAACUUCACAUACAUAUAUAGGUCUCCAACAAGCCUUGAUCAAAAAAAAAAUCUACACAUAGGCAUAUAAUAGUUAAAAUUCCAGAAACCCAACAGAAGAACAAAGUCUUACAAGCAGUGAGAGAAAAGAAACAAAUCACAUAAAAAGGAAAACCCAUCAGAAUCACAGCAGACUUCUCACCGCAAACCCUCAAGACAAGAAGAGUUUGGAGUGACUUAUUUUAUGUCCUAAAGGUAAACAGCCUCCAACCCAG